RNAcentral lists this ribosomal RNA (400 nucleotides) under uncultured bacterium. RNAcentral describes it as "bacterial SSU rRNA". It matches the Rfam family "Bacterial small subunit ribosomal RNA", at positions 355 to 751 of the family's 1533-position model. The record is from RNAcentral.
UAAGGAAUAUUGGACAAUGGGCGGAAGCCUGAUCCAGCCAUGCCGCGUGAAGGAUGAAGGCGCUCUGCGUUGUAAACUUCUUUUGGACAGGGACAAAACACUCGACGAGUCGAGUUUUGAGGGUACUGUCAGAAUAAGCACCGGCUAACUCCGUGCCAGCAGCCGCGGUAAUACGGAGGGUGCAAGCGUUAUCCGGAAUCACUGGGUUUAAAGGGUGCGUAGGCGGUCAUAUAAGUCAGUUGUGAAAUCGUUGGGCUUAACCUAUACAACUGCGAUUGAUACUGUAUGACUUGAAUAAGGUUGAGGCAGGCGGAAUGUGGCAUGUAGCGGUGAAAUGCAUAGAUAUGCCAUAGAACACCGAUUGCGAAGGCAGCCUGCUGGGCCUUUAUUGACGCUGAGG